GCAAGUCGAGGGGUAACAUGAGAGCUUGCUCUUGAUGACGACCGGCGCACGGGUGCGUAACGCGUAUGCAACCUACCCUGUACUGGAGGAUAGCCCGAAGAAAUUCGGAUUAACACUCCAUAGUAAUUAUUAACCGCAUGGUUUGAUAAUUUAAAGGUUACGGUACAGGAUGGGCAUGCGUCCCAUUAGCUUGAUGGUAAGGUAACGGCUUACCAUGGCAACGAUGGGUAGGGGGCCUGAGAGGGUGAUC
RNAcentral lists this ribosomal RNA (250 nucleotides) under uncultured bacterium. Its description in RNAcentral is "partial 16S ribosomal RNA". It matches the Rfam family "Bacterial small subunit ribosomal RNA", at positions 57 to 305 of the family's 1533-position model. The record is from RNAcentral.